GCAGGUUCAGGUUGGAACAGCGCCUCCCUUUGCCAGACCCAGGGAUUGCACUUUACCCUGUGGAGGUUCCUAAACUCCUUUCAUAGAAGCUACGGACAUCAUGGGAAGCCAGAAGAGAGAGUGAAUCCGUGUCCAAAGAAGAGCUUCUAAGGGCACGUGUUAUUUUCAA
Neogale vison (American mink) is the source of this 169-nucleotide long non-coding RNA. RefSeq lists it as uncharacterized. NCBI's taxonomy places the organism in Eukaryota, Metazoa, Chordata, Mammalia, Carnivora, Mustelidae. The record is from RefSeq and is a predicted model, not a curated record. The transcript is spliced from 3 exons.